RNAcentral lists this ribosomal RNA (340 nucleotides) under uncultured bacterium. RNAcentral's name for it is "bacterial SSU rRNA". It matches the Rfam family "Bacterial small subunit ribosomal RNA", at positions 1 to 334 of the family's 1533-position model. The record is from RNAcentral.
GUGAGUAGUUCAGAGUUUGAUCCUGGCUCAGGACGAACGCUGGCGGCGUGCCUAACACAUGCAAGUCGAACGGAGUUGAAAAGCUUGCUUUUCAACUUAGUGGCGGACGGGUGAGUAACGCGUGAGUAACCUGCCUUUCAGAGGGGGAUAACGUUCUGAAAAGAACGCUAAUACCGCAUAAAGUAUUUUAGCCGCAUGGCUUUAAUACCAAAGGAGCAAUCCGCUGAAAGAUGGACUCGCGUCCGAUUAGAUAGUUGGUGAGGUAACGGCCCACCAAGUCGACGAUCGGUAGCCGGACUGAGAGGUUGAACGGCCACAUUGGGACUGAGACACGGCCCAG